GUGCACGCUGGCGGUAGGCCUAACCCAUGCAAGUCGAACGGCAGCACCGUAAGAGCUUGCUCUUACGGGUGGCGAGUGGCGGACGGGUGAGGAAUACAUCGGAAUCUACUUUUUCGUGGGGGAUAACGUAGGGAAACUUACGCUAAUACCGCAUACGACCUACGGGUGAAAGCAGGGGAUCUUCGGACCUUGCGCGAUUGCAUGAGCCGAUGUCGGAUUAGCUAGUUGGCGGGGUAAAGGCCCACCAAGGCGACGAUCCGUAGCUGGUCUGAGAGGAUGAUCAGCCACACUGGAACUGAGACACGGUCCAGACUCCUACGGGAGGCAGCAGUGGGGAAUAUUGGACAAUGGGCGCAAGCCUGAUCCAGCCAUACCGCGUGGGUGAAGAAGGCCUUCGGGUUGUAAAGCCCUUUUGUUGGGAAAGAAAAGCAGCAGGUUAAUACCCCGCUGUUCUGACGGUACCCAAAGAAUAAGCACCGGCUAACUUCGUG
RNAcentral lists this ribosomal RNA (491 nucleotides) under uncultured bacterium. RNAcentral describes it as "partial 16S ribosomal RNA". It matches the Rfam family "Bacterial small subunit ribosomal RNA", at positions 29 to 507 of the family's 1533-position model. The record is from RNAcentral.